UUCCCUCCUCUCUCCCUCCUCCUUUCUUCCUUUGCAUACAACUCAGACAAGGGACUGCUUGGUGGCUGUCCCUUGGCUUCCCCCUGACCCAGCCGGUCAUUUCUCUUUCAUGUGUUCAGCGUGUUCUAACAGAAGAUUUUUUUUUCUUUCAAGCACUGGUGAGGGGAUUUUUUAAAUUAAAAAAUCAUCAAAGCUUAAAUGACUUGCCUGACAUAAAACUUGGACCCAACCUGGAACAGAGGCCUUGGGCCUUUUCAAUUUCCUAUGCUAACCAAAGCCCGGACUGGUCUUUUUUUUUUUUUUUUUUGUCUCUAGUAAUGAAAGGCACACAAGGUAUCGAGUUACUAAAUGGCUUUUAGCCUCUUGAAACUCAAGCGAAGGAAAAUCUCAUUCAUCUGAACUCUGCUAAUAGUGGAAUUUGUUACAAUUCGACCUGGCUAAACUGCACUUUACCAUGGGAUUACCCAGGAAGGCAAGUUGACCAGAGAACAGCUAUGCUAGAAGGCUGCUCAGGACAGAGCUUAGAUGCAAGCCCAGCUAAGAAGUUGUCUUAAAUCACUCAGUGUCUCACUUUCCUAAAUCACCCCUUGCUGAAUCCAGAAGAAGUGUGCCGUCAACGCUGACUUGAUCGAAGGGGAGCCAUUCUUACCCAGAAACCCUUUCAUCGUUAAGUUCUCCUUUGCCCUUGAGAGAAAGAAAAGUUCUCCCAGCACCUGGGAAAAGGAAGCAGGAGAAACUAAGAGGAGCCGUUCAAGGACCUCCUCAGCUGCAGACAGAAGACUCUGUCACAAAAAACAAAGGGGAGAGCAGUUGAAGAAGCCUUCUCUUCUACCCCCAGGCAGACCUGCCUGCUCCCAGCAGCGCUCAGGCAUGAAGGAAGGUUUGCUUGAAGCAGGAAGAUCUGUCAUUUCAAGCACAAAGGAGGUCUGGAACUGCAGGAGACAACUCCUUCCAACUCACCACUUUCUGGUUUCUUCUCGCCGUGCUUGGAACCAGAAAAGGGUUGAAGAAGAGAGGAAAUAAAACUCCACCCAGAGAAAAGUCCGGGAAACAUUCCUGCCUGCAGCAAGACCUGAGUCCAUCAGGGUCAGGCUCCUGCAGUACGGCCCGCCGGAGGGAUCUGUAGCAAACUUAUCUGACCCCCUCUUCCAUCACAUCCCACCCCACCGGCGAGCACAGCUCUGUCCCUGCCUCAGAACUUUGGGCUCCAACGCGUUUAUCAGAGAGUUGGGUUUUCAAGCUCUGUCUCCCCACCGCCGCCGCCGCCGCCGCCACCAUGAACACCCGCCAGAGUUGGCAGUCUGUAAUAUGCAAAAAUCCACCCAGAAAUGGAAGAGGGGACAUUUGCACAAGCUGGGUUGUGUCUACAGAAUUAGAAGGCACAGUUGGACUAAUUUUAGUGCCGAAAAAUUGGAAACACUGGGAAUAAGGCCCGGUGGGGAAAUGUGGGUUCUUGAAGCCGCUCGGAGAAGAGCCAGUGGGGAUUUAGGGGGUGGGUAUCUGGAGCCCCUGACUUGGCUGGAAGCUCAGGGUUGCAGAAGGGUUAAAUGUCCCAUAGGCCCCAGGUUAGAGGCCUGGGGUGGUGGGCUCCCUUGUCCUGGCUUCCCAGAUAUAUCUGCUUUCCUUGUGUCGCCAGCCAU
This 1640-nucleotide small RNA is filed under the name Rattus norvegicus (Norway rat). Its description in RNAcentral is "uncharacterized LOC102552816". The record is from RNAcentral. Lineage: Eukaryota; Metazoa; Chordata; Mammalia; Rodentia; Muridae.